Long non-coding RNA from Triticum dicoccoides, 2212 nucleotides. RefSeq lists it as uncharacterized. NCBI's taxonomy places the organism in Eukaryota, Viridiplantae, Streptophyta, Magnoliopsida, Poales, Poaceae. The transcript has 9 exons. The record is from RefSeq and is a predicted model, not a curated record.
CUGUCUUCUUCGUCAUGCUCUGGCGACACUAUCUUCGGGAGGGUGUGUGUCUCCAAAAAAAAAACUUCGGGAGGGUGGUACUGGCGGGGAUUCUGCUGGAUCAUCGACGACCAUCUUCGGGAGCCGGUGCGACCGGCUGCAGCUAUUAAACCUUCGAUAUGCUGGAGGGUGAUGAGGUGACAUGGAGCUAAACAUAGAUUGAAGAUUCUGUCAUGAGUUCCUCAGAGAAGAUAGAACAAAUGAGUAUGGAGAUCCAGCUGUUGAAGACGCCGAGGGACAAGAACAUUCAGGAGUUGUUCGCCUAAUGGGUUGGUGAGAACAAGAAUACAGUUAACAUCAUCACAGAGCCCUGCACAUCUCGCAUGCGAGGCAGUUCUGUAGGAAGCACAAGAAAGUGGGUAUGAAAGCUAUGAGACGAUGGCCAAUACAGAUAUUGACAGGGCUGGAAUAUCAUUAGAGUCCGGCGCCAACGAAUAUACAUAGCGACUUAAAGUGUGACAAUAUAUUCAUAAAUAGUCCUGAUGGAACAGUGAAGAUCGGCGACUAUAUGGUCUGGCGACAUUAUUGCAUCAAUGGAAAAAGCAAAGUGUCAAAGGCGCAUUAGACUUUAUGGCACUAGAACGCUUCACUGGCAAUACAAUGAGUUGCUUGGGUAUUCCAAUCCCCUUCGCAGCCUCUUCUGUCAAUCCAGCAGCACACCGCUGCCCUUCGCAUCCUCCCUGCAUCACUGCAACUGGGCCGUGCUCACAUCGUCUGCGGUCACAUGCGCAAUCUCUGCGCUCGACGCUGCCUCCACCGAGAUUCAUUGCAAGGGUGCCUGAAACGCCCACUGCUGGGUACAUGCAUACAACAAUUAUGCCAUGUCUUCCCUAUUCGAUCGGUCGCACAUGUUAUGGGCUCUGUGACGAUGGAGGCAUGGUGGUGUGAGUGGUAGCGAGAGUAAAGGAAAUGGUGGUGCAGCGCCCUGUGGAACCAGUAAUAGAGAAAUUCAACAGGUCCUAUGUGAAGCAACGCCAUGAUGAUGGCUCCCUUUGUUUCCCACAUUGGCAUGAGCCUGACGCUCGGGAUGGUUGCAUAGGCCAAGUAGAAAAACAGCGUCAUGAGGAUGAUCUGGUCAUCCCUGUACAGAAUGGUAUGUGCCAGUUAAUUUGAGUGUGAUAGAAGUGAAUAGCAGGACGUGUGCAUAUAUGGCUUACCAGGAGCUCUCCCGGUCCACCUGCUCGAAUUCAAGACCGCGGUCAACGAUGAUGUGCUUCCUGCGUGCGGUUUGGUGGCGAGACAAGCUGAUCCAGAUCUGGUUGUGGAUCAUCCUCAGAAGCAGAGCUGGUAGCAUGGUGGUGUAUGCUGUAUCCAUGUCUCCCCACCCACUGGUGACCACCCUGUGCGCAGUGUGCAAUGCCGCAGGUGCUAAGACCAGGUGGUAAUCAGAUCUUUGAUUGUUCGGAAGCUAUUGCCGUGGCUUCAAGCUUGCAAACUUCUACGUUUUGAAGAGAAAAGGAGGAUCACAAAGGCCAAUGAAUGCAAACGGUCCAAGGUUUCAUGAGAAUGGCAUGAUCUGCCCAGCAAUACAUCUUUAUGAUUUGGUUGCUGCUAUCAGGGAUUUUACCGGUGCCUAUAUUAUCGUACCCUGGUCGUUAUCCACCGUGCAAGAAGCAUGCAAAGGAAUUUGUCAAAGGUCCCUAUCCUCUUAUCUUUCUUGUGUUUCUUAAAUUGAGACAGAGCAUAAUAGAAUGAUAAUAUAAUUUGCUUCCAUCGUUUUUCUUGAAGCAGUUUUUCUGGAUCAUGUGAAAAACUGAAAAGUACUCAGGGAAUCAGCAACAUGGGACUGAAACGCUUAUGCUAGAAUAUACUAUUUACAAUUCAAAAUACAGGUAGUUUUAUUUAAUUGAUAACAGAAUAGUCUUGAGUGUUCACUACGACAUGCAAGUUUUGCUGCAAUUCCUGUUCCACCUGACUUCAGUACUGGGACAUUAUGAUGCGUAUGAAACUUUAUUUAAUGCAUACUUUUUGAAGGAAAUAUAUAAAUAUAUGAAUAUCCUCAUUGAAGUAGUUAGUUUAUUUUUUUGGUCGCUCAAUCAUAUGAUGUUCCUAAAUUUGCAAACAUGAAUUUAGCUAGAUAAAAUAAAACAUUAUGUCCUACAUUUCUGAACCAAAAACAAAUAUCAGAAAGGAACACUCCAAACAGACAGUAGCACGUAAAGUGCAGACAAGA